GUACACAGUCGACUAUGAAGACGAUUUUUUGGGCUAUGACGACGGUUUCAACUGUAGUCAUAGCUAUUCUAGAUCUGGGCUACGGCGGGCUAUGACGAUGGGUGAACCGUCCCAUAGCGCAAAAAAUCAAUCGCCAUAGCCCAACUGUGUAU
RNAcentral lists this microRNA precursor (152 nucleotides) under Panax ginseng (ginseng). Its description in RNAcentral is "miR6142 stem-loop (pgi-MIR6142)". The record is from miRBase by way of RNAcentral. Lineage: Eukaryota; Viridiplantae; Streptophyta; Magnoliopsida; Apiales; Araliaceae.